UGCAAACUGUGAUGCCACCUUGUAGCC
This 27-nucleotide non-coding RNA is filed under the name Mus musculus (house mouse). Lineage: Eukaryota; Metazoa; Chordata; Mammalia; Rodentia; Muridae. The record is from RNAcentral.